GGUUGCGUGGCGCAAUGGUAGCGCGUUACUUUCCGGUAACGGAUCAGCUGGUAAAGGUUCUGGGUUCGAAUCCCAGCGUGAUCG
Molecule: non-coding RNA, 84 nt
Organism: Dichotomopilus funicola
Lineage: Eukaryota; Fungi; Ascomycota; Sordariomycetes; Sordariales; Chaetomiaceae
Source: the annotation of a RefSeq genome assembly